UAAUACCAGCGGUCCAAGUGGCGACCCCUUUUAUUGGGCCUAAAGCGUUCGUAGCUCGCCAAAAAAGUUCCUUGUUAAAUUUUGUCUCUUAAGGACAAAGCUGGCAAGGAAUACUAAUUGGCUAGAGACCGGGAGGAGUAGCAAGUACGAUGAGAGUAGUAGUAAAAUACUUUAAUCCUCGUCGGACUAACAAUCGCGAAGGCAUGCUACUAGAACGGAUCUGACGGUGAGGAACGAAGGCCAGGGGCGCAAAACGGAUUAGAUACCCGUGUAGUCCUGGCUGUAAACGCUGCUUACUAAACAUUGUUCUCUCCUUGAGAGAGAGCGGUGCUGAAGCGAAGGCGUUAAGUAAGCUGCCUGGGAAGUAUAGCCACAAGGCCG
This 381-nucleotide ribosomal RNA is filed under the name uncultured archaeon. RNAcentral describes it as "bacterial SSU rRNA". It matches the Rfam family "Archaeal small subunit ribosomal RNA", at positions 471 to 851 of the family's 1478-position model. The record is from RNAcentral.